Molecule: ribosomal RNA, 253 nt
Filed under: uncultured bacterium
Lineage: Bacteria
Description: partial 16S ribosomal RNA
Rfam family: Bacterial small subunit ribosomal RNA
Source: RNAcentral
UACAGAGGUCUCAAGCGUUGUUCGGAUUCAUUGGGCGUAAAGGGUGCGUAGGCGGUCUGUUGCGUCCGCUGUGAAAACCCGGGGCUUAACCCCUGGCUUGCAGUGGAUACGGACAGACUAGAGGUAGGUAGGGGAGAAUGGAAUUCCCGGUGUAGCGGUGAAAUGCGCAGAUAUCGGGAGGAACACCGGUGGCGAAGGCGGUUCUCUGGGCCUUACCUGACGCUGAGGAGCGAAAGCGUGGGGAGCGAACAGG